This 396-nucleotide ribosomal RNA is filed under the name uncultured bacterium. RNAcentral describes it as "bacterial SSU rRNA". It matches the Rfam family "Bacterial small subunit ribosomal RNA", at positions 30 to 424 of the family's 1533-position model. The record is from RNAcentral.
AUUGAACGCUGGCGGCAUGCUUUACACAUGCAAGUCGAACGGCAGCACGGGCUUCGGCCUGGUGGCGAGUGGCGAACGGGUGAGUAAUGCAUCGGAACGUGCCCAUUUGUGGGGGAUAACUACGCGAAAGCGUGGCUAAUACCGCAUACGCCCUGAGGGGGAAAGCGGGGGGAUUCUUCGGAACCUCGCGCAAUUGGAGCGGCCGAUGUCAGAUUAGCUUGUUGGUGAGGUAAAGGCUCACCAAGGCGACGAUCUGUAGCGGGGUCUGAGAGGAUGAUCCGCCACACUGGGACUGAGACACGGCCCAGACUCCUACGGGAGGCAGCAGUGGGGAAUUUUGGAUAAUGGGGGCAACCCUGAUCCAGCCAUGCCGCGUGAGUGAAGAAGGCCUCGGUU